Peromyscus eremicus (cactus mouse) is the source of this 567-nucleotide long non-coding RNA. RefSeq lists it as uncharacterized. Lineage: Eukaryota; Metazoa; Chordata; Mammalia; Rodentia; Cricetidae. The transcript has 3 exons. The record is from RefSeq and is a predicted model, not a curated record.
CUGCAGCAUUAUCUCCUAUGGAUUAGGAUAGCAGAAAGAUUGGUAAUUAUUCACUGGGGCUCAGACUUUUCCUUCACCCUUAUAGCUGUGCUUAUCCAACCAUCUAUAAAAUCAAAAUCUUACAUUGUCUUGCAAUGACAGAGAACAAAUUCAUUUCUGAAACUUUGUAUGACACCAUAUACACUAAAGCCUUACAAAUUAUUCUUUUUUUCCCUUUUUUUUCAGAUUAAAAUGUUCUUCAACAGCCUUUGUAUGCAUGUGAUGAUGGAAGCUUUAUCUUAUAAUGAUCUACUUGAUUUUUCUUUACCUAUGAGGAAGAGUGCAUGAAGGAAAAAAGCAGGAAUAAGAAGAUACCAAGAAACAAAGGAGAAAAUGAAAUGAAAAGUUCCUCCCUGCUAGCCAGAUUUCACAGUGCUGAAAGAUGCUAUCUAGAUUCCUGGGAAAGAAAAUGAAGAAAUGUUCUUAUCCAGACAAAUGCUACUCUCUGUCUUAAUCAGAGAACUCUCAAUUCCCAGUGAAUGGUGAUGAAUGCAGUGACACCUGACCGGUGAAGAUAAUGAGAAUAAG